ACGGGAGGCAGCAGUGGGGAAUAUUGCACAAUGGGGGAAACCCUGAUGCAGCGACGCCGCGUGAGCGAAGAAGUAUUUCGGUAUGUAAAGCUCUAUCAGCAGGGAAGAAAAUGACGGUACCUGACUAAGAAGCUCCGGCUAAAUACGUGCCAGCAGCCGCGGUAAUACGUAUGGAGCAAGCGUUAUCCGGAUUUACUGGGUGUAAAGGGAGCGUAGACGGAACAGCAAGUCUGAUGUGAAAGGCAGGGGCUCAACUCCUGGACUGCAUUGGAAACUGCUGAUCUUGAGUGUCGGAGAGGUAAGCGGAAUUCCUAGUGUAGCGGUGAAAUGCGUAGAUAUUAGGAGGAACACCAGUGGCGAAGGCGGCUUACUGGACGAUCACUGACGUUGAGGCUCGAAAGCGUGGGGAGCAAACAGGAUUAGAUACCCUGGUA
This 434-nucleotide ribosomal RNA is filed under the name uncultured Clostridium sp. RNAcentral's name for it is "partial 16S ribosomal RNA". It matches the Rfam family "Bacterial small subunit ribosomal RNA", at positions 341 to 792 of the family's 1533-position model. The record is from RNAcentral. Lineage: Bacteria; Bacillati; Bacillota; Clostridia; Eubacteriales; Clostridiaceae.